Molecule: ribosomal RNA, 460 nt
Filed under: uncultured bacterium
Lineage: Bacteria
Description: partial 16S ribosomal RNA
Rfam family: Bacterial small subunit ribosomal RNA
Source: RNAcentral
CCUACGGGAUGCAGCAGUGAGGAAUCUUGGUCAAUGGACGCAAGUCUGAACCAGCCAUGCCGCGUGCAGGAAGACGGCUCUAUGAGUUGUACACUGCUUUUGUACGAGGGUAAACGCAGAUACGCGUAUCUGUCUGAAAGUAUCGUACGAAUAAGGAUCGGCUAACUCCGUGCCAGCAGCAGCGGUAAUACGGAGGAUUCAAGCGUUAUCCGGAUUUAUUGGGUUUAAAGGGUGCGUAGGCGGUCGGAUAAGUUAGAGGUGAAAUCCCGAGGCUCAACUUCGGAAUUGCCUCUGAUACUGUUCGGCUAGAGAGUAGUUGCGGUAGGCGGAAUGUAGGGUGUAGCGGUGAAAUGCUUAGAGAUCAUACAGAACACCGAUUGCGAAGGCAGCUUACCAAGCUACUUCUGACGUUGAGGCACGAAAGCGUGGGGAGCAAACAGGAUUAGAUACCCGGGUAGUC